RNAcentral lists this long non-coding RNA (2025 nucleotides) under Apis mellifera (honey bee). RNAcentral describes it as "uncharacterized LOC113219295, transcript variant X2". The record is from RNAcentral. Lineage: Eukaryota; Metazoa; Arthropoda; Insecta; Hymenoptera; Apidae.
UAUUGUGCCAUAAUUUCUAGCCUAGUUUCAGUGAAGAGAAUCUGAUUUCAGCAAAGUGAACAUUGUUCGUGAACGAAAUCAUUGAUAGUCAACGUAAAUGAAUAAAAUGUGGACAAUCUUUAAGUUUCGAGCCUAACCUCAAUUUUUUUUUUGUCUUAGUAAUCCAUCCGUUUCAUGCACUAAAUCGCCCGUGCAGAGAUUCGUAAAUACACACGAUAAUUAUACGAAUGUGACAGAAGCACGAUAAUAAUCGGUUAUUUUAAAUUUCGAGCGACGAGAGAGAAUAUCUUACAAUAGGUAAUGCAUUUACUAGGCACCACGAUGCAUCGCAGCAACCUUUCUAGUUGUAUAAAAACCGUUGUCUCGAUAACGGAAACUAUGGAUAGGAUAUUCACGUAUUUUUUUUAACUUAAUCUCAAUCUUGUAAUUCUAAUUUCAGUUGAUAUUCAAACUUCACCCGAGCCACAGCAUUAUGCGAUGCACUUUUAAAAUAAAUAUAAUAAAAAUAAUGGUUUAUGAAGUUGAAAGCUAAAAGAAUAAAGAAAUGAGAUGAUAAUUUUUUUUAUGUUCAAAUUCCAAUAGAAAAAGUAAUUACUUUAAUUUUUGUACAAUGGCAAUGAUAUUUAAAUUAUAACAAUAUAAUUCAUUUAUUUAAUAUCUGAAUUCUAAAUAAGGCUGCUACGAUGCAAGCUCGAAAGCACAGUGUACCCAUGUGUGUAUAACAAAAAGUCAACAAGUAAACGUGCAAUAAAUCAAUCGAUUGCAAAUCGCCUUAUAAAUUGUAUAAAAAUCUCUAUUUGCCUAGCUUAAUGCCUUAAGGAUACGGUAUUGGGAAUUUGUAUAAUUCCUACAGUUUUUAUGCCCAGUCGAAGAGACACUGUUGCAUUUAUUAUUUUUGUUUAGCAAUCUCGUACUCACUAGGAAAAACACUUGCCUUCUGUGCACUCAGCGGUAGCAUUUGUUGAAUCAAGAUGAAUAAUUGAAUCGGUGCAUAUCGGCACAGAGAGACAAAAGCGAAUCGAAAAAUAAAUCAAAGAUAUAAGGAUAGCAGAGUAUUGCUAAUUUAUCCGUCGUGCAAUAUGUGUGACAGAUGAGGCAAGCGGCACGCCCAAUUGCAAAUGAAAUACAUCAGAUUAGAAAUCCAUUCACUCGAGUAUUCACCGAAGUACUUUAGUAUUUCUCUCCAUUCUUAAAUUCACAUGAUAUAAAAUCCUAGAUUAAUAUGGCCGGUAAUUUGUUUCUCUUGUGUCCUCGUAUUUCUUUCUCUUUUUUCUUCCUCCCCAUAUCUUCUUUCCCUCCCUCCCGUAAUUCUCCUAUCAGUUUUCCCCCUUUUUUUUAAUUAUGUUCAUAUUACUUAUAUCGUACGAAUGGUUUUACAUUAAUCCGCAAUUAGUAAAUAGAUAACCGCAAGCUUAACGUCUAAGUCAAUUUAUGAAUUAAUGGUGUGUGUAUGUAUGACGCAUGAAAUAUAUGAAGAACGAUUUGCUUCAAUGUUCAACAACCAUUCUCUCUCUCUCUCUCUCUCUCUCUCUCUCUCUCUCUCUCUCUCUCUCUCUCUCUCAUUCACACAUCCAUUCUUCUCCCUUUUUCCUGUUUUUCAUUUGUGGUUUCACGUAUUGAAAAAUUCGAUUUAUUUCCAGGAAACGUAUUAAAUCCAUUUUUCACACCAUAAUAUGAAUUUUUUCUCCCUGUUUUUUUUGCUGCUUCCAUCCUCUCCUUCUCUAUUUAGGUUAGAAGCAUGUAAGAUACCGCUCGUCGAACGAUACAAUAUCUUUUUAUUUUCUACCUGCAAGCUUCUUAAUGGAAUUGUUGUAAUAUAAAUAUGUAGGGAAUAUCGAAUCGAGUUAUCUAAUCGCCUUAUCAGGCUUACGUCUCUUUCCACUUUUUUGCUCUUACGAUCUUCCGCACUUGUCAUUUUUUAUUUAUUUUGCUAUUGUCGAAACUGAGUAAUUAAAUACUACGAGUAAUUUUUUUUUUUUCGAUUUUUAUAAAGCAAAGCAAAGCAAAAAAAAAAAAAAAAAAAAA